GGUGGAAUUUUUUAACGGUUAAAUUAGCAUGUUGGUGGCUACCCCCAGCGGGGUACCAUCCUCGUGUUUCUUAGGUUAUGUCCUUUAUAAGGUCUGCUGGGUGCUUCCUUUUUAGUCUUCUGUCCAUAUUUGUGAUUUUGUAUGUUUCCACAGCUAGCCGGUUUAUGUGUGUUGCUAUUCUUAAUUUGUAUUUCUCGGAGUAUCUGUUGAUUUCUUCCUUGACCGUUGGCAUUCCCAGGUCCCUUCGUAUAUCUUCGUUUCUGACAUACCAAGGGACCUGGGAAUGCCAACGG
Molecule: unclassified non-coding RNA, 293 nt
Filed under: Bombus terrestris (buff-tailed bumblebee)
Lineage: Eukaryota; Metazoa; Arthropoda; Insecta; Hymenoptera; Apidae
Description: misc RNA ENSBTSG00005028121.1
Source: RNAcentral